This 492-nucleotide ribosomal RNA is filed under the name uncultured bacterium. RNAcentral's name for it is "partial 16S ribosomal RNA". It matches the Rfam family "Bacterial small subunit ribosomal RNA", at positions 29 to 507 of the family's 1533-position model. The record is from RNAcentral.
AGUGAACGCUGGCGGUAGGCCUAACACAUGCAAGUCGAACGGCAGCACAGUAAGAGCUUGCUCUUACGGGUGGCGAGUGGCGGACGGGUGAGGAAUACAUCGGAAUCUACUUUUUCGUGGGGGAUAACGUAGGGAAACUUACGCUAAUACCGCAUACGACCUACGGGUGAAAGCAGGGGAUCUUCGUACCUUGCGCGAUUGAAUGAGCCGAUGUGGGAUUAGCUAGUUGGCGGGGUAAAGGCCCACCAAGGCAACGAUCCGUAGCUGGUCUGGGAGGAUGAGUGGCCACACUGGAACUGAGACACGGUCCAGACUCCUACGGGAGGCAGCAGUGGGGAAUAUUGGACAAUGGGCGCAAGCCUGAUCCAGCCAUACCGCGUGGGUGAAGAAGGCCUUCGGGUUGUAAAGCCCUUUUGUUGGGAAAGAAAAGCAGCAGGUUAAUACCCCGCUGUUCUGACGGUACCCAAAGAAUAAGCACCGGCUAACUUCGUG